GAUGAACGCUGGCGGCGUGCCUAAUACAUGCAAGUCGAGCGAACCACUUCGGUGGUGAGCGGCGAACGGGUGAGUAACACGUAGGUUAUCUGCCCAUCAGACGGGGACAACGAUUGGAAACGAUCGCUAAUACCGGAUAGGACGAAAGUUUAAAGGUGCUUCGGCACCACUGAUGGAUGAGCCUGCGGCGCAUUAGCUAGUUGGUAGGGUAAAGGCCUACCAAGGCGACGAUGCGUAGCCGACCUGAAAGGGUGAACGGCCACACUGGGACUGAGAAACGGCCCAGACUCCUACGGGAGGCAGCAGUAGGGAAUCUUCGGCAAUGGGCGAAAGCCUGACCGAGCAACGCCGCGUGAAUGAUGAAGGCCUUCGGGUUGUAAAAUUCUGUUAUAAGGGAAGAAUGGCUUUAGUAGGAAAUGGCUAGAGUGUGACGGUACCUUAUGAGAAAGCCACGGCUAACUACGUGCCAGCCGCCGCAGUAA
This 482-nucleotide ribosomal RNA is filed under the name uncultured bacterium. Its description in RNAcentral is "partial 16S ribosomal RNA". It matches the Rfam family "Bacterial small subunit ribosomal RNA", at positions 28 to 523 of the family's 1533-position model. The record is from RNAcentral.